GGAUUUGUACCAAGAUCAUGCCAAGAUCUUACAUAAAUCCUGCAAGAUCAUGGAAAGAUCUUGCAUGAUCUUGCAAGAUCUUUCCAAGUUCUUGCAGGAUCUUACCCAAGAUCUUGCAGGAUCUUGCAAGAUCUUGCCAUUAUCAUGGCAAGAUCUUGUCAUGAUCAUGGCAAGAUCUUGCAAGAUGUUUGGCAAGAUCUUGCAAGAUCCUGCAAGAUCUUAGGUAAAUCCUGCAAGAUCUUAGGUAAGAUCCUGCAAGAACUUGGAAAGAUCUUGCAAGAUCUUGCAAGAUCUUUC
Paramuricea clavata is the source of this 297-nucleotide non-coding RNA. The record is from the annotation of a GenBank genome assembly. Lineage: Eukaryota; Metazoa; Cnidaria; Anthozoa; Malacalcyonacea; Plexauridae.